GAUGAACGCUGGCGGCGUGCUUAGCACAUGCAAGUCGAACGGAAAGGCCAGUGCUUGCACUGGUACUCGAGUGGCGAACGGGUGAGUAACACGUGGGUGAUCUGCCCUGCACUUCGGGAUAAGCCUGGGAAACUGGGUCUAAUACCGGAUAGGACAAUGGUCUGGAUGCCGUUGUGGAAAGUUUUUUCGGUGUGGGAUGAGCUCGCGGCCUAUCAGCUUGUUGGUGGGGUAAUGGCCUACCAAGGCGUCGACGGGUAGCCGGCCUGAGAGGGUGUACGGCCACAUUGGGACUGAGAUACGGCCCAGACUCCUACGGGAGGCAGCAGUGGGGAAUAUUGCACAAUGGGCGCAAGCCUGAUGCAGCGACGCCGCGUGGGGGAUGACGGCCUUCGGGUUGUAAACUCCUUUCGCUAGGGACGAAGCGUAUUUGUGACGGUACCUGGAGAAGAAGCACCGGCUAACUACGUG
RNAcentral lists this ribosomal RNA (468 nucleotides) under uncultured bacterium. RNAcentral describes it as "partial 16S ribosomal RNA". It matches the Rfam family "Bacterial small subunit ribosomal RNA", at positions 28 to 507 of the family's 1533-position model. The record is from RNAcentral.